This is a non-coding RNA of Ictidomys tridecemlineatus (thirteen-lined ground squirrel), 945 nucleotides long. Lineage: Eukaryota; Metazoa; Chordata; Mammalia; Rodentia; Sciuridae. The record is from the annotation of a RefSeq genome assembly.
UGAUUUGCAUAACAGGCAGCUGUCCCCAACAAGGGAAUAAAGAGGCCUUGAGGGAACACAGACCAGCCUAGGACUCAGGAAGCAGCCACAGGCACCAUGACUUGGAAGGCCCUUCUCAUAAGCCUCCUGGCUCAUUACACAGGUUCUGUAGCCUCUUAUGUGCUGACUCAGCCAUCAUCAGUAUCGGUGACCCCAGGACAGACGGCCAGAAUCACCUGUGGAGGAAACAACAUUGGUAGUAAAUAUGUGCAGUGGUACCAGCAGAAGCCAGCACAGUCCCCGCUGCUUGUCAUCUAUGGUACUAGUAACCGGCCCUCAGGGAUCCCUGACAGAUUCUCUGGCUCCAAAUCUGGGAACACAGCCACCCUGACCGUCAGUGGGGCCCAGUCUGGAGACGAGGCUGACUAUUACUGUCAGGUGUGGGAUGGUAAUGCUGCUCACAGUGACACAGGCAGACAGGGAAGUGAGACAAAAACCUGCCACCAGCCUGGCACCAAAGGCCCUUCCUGCUUGCUCUGAUUAGCCUGACAGCAGAGAGCAUGCCACAUGCUGUGUAGGAAGUCUCCUCCCAUCUCUGUCUAGAUAGUCCUAAGAGAUUAGGGGAAGGCUCCUGUACCUCCCCAGGAUCAGUUGAUUCCAUGGGAACUUGAUCAACUCAUUCUUAUCAACUUGAUCCGCCAGGCCCAAAAGCCACAGCAAGUCAUCAGCCAUGCAUGUUAGUAUUAAGUAGAAUUUCACCGUGGCAGGGUCUUAUUUAUGGUUAAUUAGGGGAAGAACAGGGCAUGGUUAUAGUGUUGAAAAAUGUGUCCUGGCGAAUUUUAAGGCAGAUUUGUCAAGAAGAAUUUUGAUGAGUAUUCAUGUAACCAGUGUUGUACUGGGGAGGGUUGGUAUGCACUAGGCUUGGGGGAUUUUGCUGUGGGUGUUGAUUAGUAAACCUCUAUUUGA